RNAcentral lists this ribosomal RNA (493 nucleotides) under uncultured bacterium. RNAcentral's name for it is "partial 16S ribosomal RNA". It matches the Rfam family "Bacterial small subunit ribosomal RNA", at positions 28 to 507 of the family's 1533-position model. The record is from RNAcentral.
GACGAACGCUGGCGGUGUGCUUAACACAUGCAAGUGGUGCGACGAACCAGAGCUUGCUCUGGGGCAAAGCCGCAAACGGUUGGGUAACACGUGGUUAUUCUACCCCACUGACGGGAACAACCCGAGAAACCUCGGGUUACUACGGGAGGUGGUGCGGAGCAAUAAUUUUUUUCCCUAAAGGUGGUUUCGGCUUCGGCCUUGGAAGGGGCCCGCGGCCCAUUGGCUUUUUGGUGGGGUCAAGGCCUACCAAGGCAACGAUGGGUAGCUGGUCUGCGAGGACGAUCAGCCACACUGGGACUGAGACACGGCCCAGACUCCUACGGGAGGCAGCAGUGGGGAAUCUUGCGCAAUGCGCGAAAGCGUGACGCAGCAACACCGCGUGAGGGAAGAAGGCCUUAGGGUUGUAAACCUCUUUCAGAUGGGACGAAGGUUCUCCGGUGAAUAGCCGAGAGGAUUGACGGUACCGUCAGAAGAAGCUCCGGCUAACUACGUG